RNAcentral lists this ribosomal RNA (225 nucleotides) under uncultured prokaryote. Its description in RNAcentral is "partial 16S ribosomal RNA". It matches the Rfam family "Bacterial small subunit ribosomal RNA", at positions 524 to 748 of the family's 1533-position model. The record is from RNAcentral.
UACAGAGGUCUCAAGCGUUGUUCGGAGUUACUGGGCGUAAAGGGUGUGUAGGCGGUUUGGUAAGUCUGGUGUGAAAUCUCCCGGCUCAACUGGGAGGGUGCGCCGGAAACUGCCGGACUAGAGUGCGGGAGAGGAGAGUGGAAUUCCUGGUGUAGCGGUGAAAUGCGUAGAUAUCAGGAGGAACACCGGUGGUGUAGACGGCUCUCUGGACCGUAACUGACGCUG